UUUGAAUGGCUGGAAAAAAAAUAUUUCUCCAAAGUCAGACUUGGAGAUGGCAGACUUGUAGAUGCAACGGGCAAAGGAGCAGUUGCUGUUCAAACUCCCUCAGGUAUGAAGAUUAUAUCUGAUGUAUUAUUUGUUCCUGAAAUUAGCCAAAGUCUUCUCAGUGUUGGCCAAUUGCUUGAUAAAAAUUAUGCCCUGUUAUUUAAAGAUAAAACAUGUGAAAUCAUGGAUCCAACUGGUAUAAAAUUGCUCUCAGUCAAAAUGAACAACAGAAGCUUCCCUCUUGAUUGGAAACAUACCGACAUUGGAGCUUAUGUCAGCAUUCAAGAUGAAACUUAUGUCUGGCAUAAGAGGCUUGGUCACAUCAAUUUUAAAUCUUUAAAAUUGAUGCAAAAUAAGGAUCUUGUGGCAGAUAUGCCUUCCAUAAAUGAAACCUCUAAUGUAUGUGGGGUUUGUCAAAUCACUAUUUCCUAUUAAUCAAGCCUGGAGAGCUACUGAAAAGCUCCAACUAAUACACACUGAUUUGUGUGGACCUAUGAGCACUCCUUCUUAUAACGGCAACAAAUAUUUUCUUUUAUUCAUUGAUGACCUUACGAGGUUUUGUUUGGUUUACUUUCUGAAACAUAAAUAUGAAGUAUUUGUUGCGUUUCAAAGGUUUAAAGCAACUGUUGAAAACCAAUGUGGCUCUUUGAUAAAAAUCUUAAGGUCUGAUAAUGGGACCGAGUUCACUUCCAAUCAAUUCAAGGAUUUUCUUCAGAAAGCAGGAAUUCAUCAUCAACUUACAGUCACUUACACACCACAACAAAACAGUGUAAGUGAAAGAAAAAAUAGGUCCAUUAUAAAUAUGGCUCGGUGUCUUCUGUUUGAGAAAGGUCUGCGUAAGGUGCUAUGGGCUGAAGCUGUAAAUGCCGCUGUCUAUCUACAAAAUAGAUUGCCGACGAGAACUGUUGAAGGAAAGACUCCAUACGAAGCAUGGAUUGGAACCAAGCCAUCAGUUGCUCAUCUUAAAGGAUUUGACUGUAUCUCUUACUCUUAUAUUCCUGACGUUAAACGGGAUAAACUUGAUCAAAGAGUUGAAGUUGGAAUAUUUUUGGGAUACAACAGCACUUCUAAAGGAUAUAGAAUUUUAAAUCCUAUUUCACAACAAAUCCAUGUAAGUAGAAGUGUUAAAUUUGAUGAGGAUGCUGCAUGGGACUGGAAGAAGAUGGUUGUUUCUUCUUUCCAGAUCACUAAUCAAGAAUAAAGUGCCCAAGAAGAAGAGUUGAUUCUAGAAGAAGAGGAGGACUCUGAUGAUUUUGCAGUAAGAUGUACCAGAUCCAUUGAAGAUAUAUAUAGCAGAUGCAAUGUCGCUAUGUUGGAGCCAACAAAUGUAGACAAUGCAUUGCAAAUUCCCGAAUGGAGGGCAGCCAUGGAGGAGGAGCUCAAUAUGAUUAACAAGAAUAAUACAUAGGUACUUGUACCUAGACCUCCUGACAAGCAGGCUCUUGGAACUAAAUGGGUGUUCAAGAUUAAACUGAAUUCAAAUGGCACACUCAACAAGUACAAAGCAAGGCUAGUUGUAAAGGGGUAUGCGCAACAGCAUGGAAUUGAUUUUCAUGAAACCUUUGCACCAGUUGCAAGGUUUGAUACCAUUAGAUUGCUACUUACAGUUGCAGCACACCAAGGUUGGCAAGUAUUUCAAUUGGAUGUUAAGUCUGCCUUCCUUAAUGGGUACCUUGAAGAGAAAAUUUAUGUAGAGCAGCCUGAAGGUUUUAGAGGACCGGGUAUAUUUGUUAAGAAAAGCUCUUUAUGGCUUGAAACAGGCACCUAGGGCCUGGUAUGCACGGAUCGAUAGCUACUUACUGAAUUUGGGGUUUAAGAGAAGCUGCAAUGAAACAACCCUGUAUAUUAGACUUCAAAGUGAUGAUUUUCUCGUAGUUUCUCUCUAUGUUGAUGAUCUGUUGGUGACUAGCAGCAGCACACAGUCUAUCAAAGACUUCAGGGAGCAAAUGAAGAAGGUCUUUGAAAUGAAUGAUCUGGGAAAAAUGACUUAUUUCUUGGGAAUGGAGGUUAAUUAAUCUUCUCAAGGAAUCUUUGUUUCUCAGAAGAAAUAUGCUACCGAAAUAUUGAUGAAGUUUUGUCUUGACAAAUGCAAACCAGUAAGUACCCUUGCAGUUCAAGGAAAGAAACUGAUGAAUGAGGAUGAGUCUGGUUUGGUCGAUGCUUUAAUUUAUAGAAGUUUGAUUGGUUCCCUGUUGUAUUUAUCAGACACAAGGCCUGAUAUUAUGUAUGCAACAAGUGUGCUAUUAAGGUUUAUGCAUUUACCAACUGAAAUUCACCUCAGAGCAGCCAAAAGAAUUUUGAGGUACAUUCGAGGCACCAUUGAUUAUGGUGUGUUUUAUAAAAGAACCAUAUCUAUGAAAUUAUUGGGGUUUACUGAUAGUGACUGGGCUGGGUCGCAAGACGACAUGAAAAGCACUUCAGGAUAUUGUUUCACUCUCGGAUCAGGUGUCAUUUGCUGGUGCACAAAGAAGCAAGGGUCCGUGGCUCAAUCAACAGCUGAAACAGAGUACGUUGCUGCCUCCGGUGCUGUUAAUCAAGCUCUAUGGUUGAGAAAAAUCUUGAUUGACUUGGGGUUUCAUCCAAGCAAAGCAACUGAAGUCCUUUGUGAUAACAAAUCUGCUGUUGCCAUGGUAAAGAAUCCAGUCUUUCAUGGAAAGACUAAACACAUUAAAAUCAAAUACCAUUCCAUUCGAGAAGCUGAAAGGGAAAAUGAAGUUCAUAUUAUGUAUUGUUGUGGUGAAAAUCAACUAGCUGAUAUAUUUUUACCAAGGCACUGCAGAAACAAAGAUUUGAGCUUCUUAGAGCUAAGCUUGGAGUAUCCAACAACACUUGCAUCAAGGAGGAGUGAUGAAGGUUGUUGUUUUUGUAUGUGAUGCUAAGUGCUGUCAUGUUAGUACUUUUGUCUUGAUAUUUUUGGUAUAACUUUUGAAUUAAUUUUAAUACAAAGUUCUAGAAUGUAGAAGAUAUUGUAAUAUGUGGUGGAUCUUUAUUUAAGCACAAAAUAGGGAGACAGUUUCCAGGAUUUAAGGGAUUUGACACCACCUUAUGUAUCUAUAUAUGUGUAAGCUUUUGCUGAAUGAAACGAUCUGC
Molecule: long non-coding RNA, 3129 nt
Filed under: Solanum tuberosum (potato)
Lineage: Eukaryota; Viridiplantae; Streptophyta; Magnoliopsida; Solanales; Solanaceae
Description: long non-coding RNA (STUB_LNC005000)
Source: RNAcentral